This 242-nucleotide ribosomal RNA is filed under the name uncultured bacterium. RNAcentral's name for it is "partial 16S ribosomal RNA". It matches the Rfam family "Bacterial small subunit ribosomal RNA", at positions 15 to 236 of the family's 1533-position model. The record is from RNAcentral.
GAUCAUGGCUCAGGACGAACGCUGGCGGCGUGCCUAACACAUACAAGUCGAACGGAGAAUUUUAUUUCGGUAGAAUUCUUAGUGGCGAACGGGUGAGUAACGCGUAGGCAACCUGCCCUUUANACGGGGGACAACAUUCCGAAAGGAGUGCUAAUACCGGAUGUGAUCAUCUUGCCGCAGUGGCAGGAUGAAGAAAGAUGGCCUCUACAAGUAAGCUAUCGACUAAAGGAGUGGGCCUGCGU